GAUGAACGCUGGCGGCGUGCCUAAUACAUGCAAGUCGAGCGAACGGACGAGAAGCUUGCUUUUCUGAUGUUAGCGGCGGACGGGUGAGUAACACGUGGAUAACCUACCUAUAAGACUGGGAUAACUUCGGGAAACCGGAGCUAAUACCGGAUAAUAUUUUGAACCGCAUGGUUCAAAAGUGAAAGACGGUCUUGCUGUCACUUAUAGAUGGAUCCGCGCUGCAUUAGCUAGUUGGUAAGGUAAUGGCUUACCAAGGCAACGAUGCAUAGCCGACCUGAGAGGGUGAUCGGCCACACUGGAACUGAGACACGGUCCAGACUCCUACGGGAGGCAGCAGUAGGGAAUCUUCCGCAAUGGGCGAAAGCCUGACGGAGCAACGCCGCGUGAGUGAUGAAGGUCUUCGGAUCGUAAAACUCUGUUAUUAGGGAAGAACAUAUGUGUAAGUAACUGUGCACAUCUUGACGGUACCUAAUCAGAAAGCCACGGCUAACUACGUG
Molecule: ribosomal RNA, 497 nt
Filed under: uncultured bacterium
Lineage: Bacteria
Description: partial 16S ribosomal RNA
Rfam family: Bacterial small subunit ribosomal RNA
Source: RNAcentral